AUGAGGACGUGAGAUAAUGAGUCUACUAUCAAACCACCCUUCGUUGAUGGAUAUCAACUUAGUUGAUUGGCCUAAUGGAAAGAUGCGAUCCAGCAUUAACAAAGAGAUAGGUCCUUGGGCAGGUGAUGCCGACACCGCAAGUUAAACCUUAUCAACUAUACCUUUGUUAGAUAGCGUAGUGAGAACAAGAGCUUAGACUCACCUUAUGGCGCAAGGUCUCUCACUAACACGCACUGGGUCGACUACGAUGAGAUAUGCUCUCGUAAUGGAUGCCAUUGAACUCCACUACUUUGUCAGUUUGGUAGUUUCCGAAUAACUGAACAUGCAGCCUAUGAAUGUGGUCAUAAUAACAUCUCUAUGGGAUCAGAGAUAUACAUGAAGAUCUUAAACGGACUUCAUUCAUCCGAAUCAAGUGGCUCUAAACCACAGGAGCAUGCGUUUGCUAAAUGUAUUGAAACACACAUAGACUCUACUUGAUUUGGAAGGGAUAUGGUGAAUUAUGCCUUUGCGUGUUCAUUCCGGAUUUACAUGGACUCUUGAUGGAUCAAGAGAUGCCAAUUUGUAUCAACAUCCGAAGAAAAAGAUCUUGGGAUGACAUGGUCUCGAUAAGGCACUCGAUGACUGUAUUGAUGAUGAUUUUCCAUCAAUCGGCUUAGGCGCUCUAUAACUAGUGAGGCCUACAUAUACUCCCAUGAUUAGUCAAGGUCUUUGCUCUAAAGAGAGAUCCGUUGUUUUGUCUAAAGCAAGAUGACAAAUAUGUGUUAAGAGAUGGAGUUCCCAUCUAAGUACAAUAAGACGCAUCAAUGUACUCAACACAAUACGAAAGACUUGACAUCUCAUUCGCUAUGAAAAGUUGUAAAGCUAAGUGUAGCUAUGCGCCCACGCAAUGCCAAUGUAAUGGCAGUAACUCCUUUUUCAAUACUUAAUGGUAUGAAAG
RNAcentral lists this long non-coding RNA (937 nucleotides) under Fragaria vesca (wild strawberry). RNAcentral describes it as "long non-coding RNA (FVES_LNC004232)". Lineage: Eukaryota; Viridiplantae; Streptophyta; Magnoliopsida; Rosales; Rosaceae. The record is from RNAcentral.